CUGCAUCUUUGACAGCCUGGGCCCUCUACUGUGAGAUAACCCGGGUUUUACUAUUUUAGAUGCAACAUUAAAUGUCCCUGCGCUUUCUGCCCGCCUAUUCAUGGCGUCUCGGAUUGAAUCGGGGAGGAUAAAC
Non-coding RNA from Xyrichtys novacula (pearly razorfish), 133 nucleotides. The record is from the annotation of a GenBank genome assembly. Lineage: Eukaryota; Metazoa; Chordata; Actinopteri; Labriformes; Labridae.